Molecule: ribosomal RNA, 482 nt
Filed under: uncultured bacterium
Lineage: Bacteria
Description: partial 16S ribosomal RNA
Rfam family: Bacterial small subunit ribosomal RNA
Source: RNAcentral
GACGAACGCUGGCGGCACGCUUAACACAUGCAAGUCGAACGGAGUUAAUUGGAGCUUGCUUUGAUUAACUUAGUGGCGGACGGGUGAGUAACACGUGAGCAACCUGCCUUUAAGAGAGGAAUAACAGUCUGAAAAGACUGCUAGUACCUCAUAACAUAACGAAGCCGCAUGACUUUGUUAUCAAAGAUUUAUCGCUUAAAGAUGGGCUCGCGUCUGAUUAGCUUGUUGGUGAGGUAACGGCCCACCAAGGCGACGAUCAGUAGCCGUACUGAGAGGUAGAUCGGCCACAUUGGGACUGAGACACGGCCCAGACUCCUACGGGAGGCAGCAGUGGGGAAUAUUGCACAAUGGAGGAAACUCUGAUGCAGCGAUGCCGCGUGAGGGAAGAAGGUUUUCGGAUUGUAAACCUCUGUCUUCAGGGACGAUAAUGACGGUACCUGAGGAGGAAGCUCCGGCUAACUACGUGCCAGCCGCCGCGGUAA